UUUCCUACGGGACGCAGCAGUGAGGAAUAUUGGUCAAUGGACGAGAGUCUGAACCAGCCAAGUAGCGUGAAGGAUGACUGCCCUAUGGGUUGUAAACUUCUUUUAUAUGGGAAUAAAACGUUCCACGUGUGGGAUUUUGUAUGUACCAUAUGAAUAAGGAUCGGCUAACUCCGUGCCAGCAGCCGCGGUAAUACGGAGGAUCCGAGCGUUAUCCGGAUUUAUUGGGUUUAAAGGGUGCGUAGGCGGACUGUUAAGUCAGCGGUAAAAGCCCGGGGCUCAACCCCGGCGAGCCGUUGAAACUGGCU
This 305-nucleotide ribosomal RNA is filed under the name uncultured bacterium. RNAcentral's name for it is "bacterial SSU rRNA". It matches the Rfam family "Bacterial small subunit ribosomal RNA", at positions 335 to 638 of the family's 1533-position model. The record is from RNAcentral.